This 254-nucleotide ribosomal RNA is filed under the name uncultured bacterium. RNAcentral's name for it is "partial 16S ribosomal RNA". It matches the Rfam family "Bacterial small subunit ribosomal RNA", at positions 524 to 776 of the family's 1533-position model. The record is from RNAcentral.
CACGUAGGCACCAAGCGUUGUCCGGAUUUAUUGGGCGUAAAGAGCUCGUAGGCGGUUCAGUAAGUCGGGUGUGAAAACUCUGGGCUUAACCCAGAGCCGCCACCCGAUACUGCUGUGACUUGAGUUCGGUAGGGGAGCAGGGAAUUCCUAGUGUAGCGGUGAAAUGCGCAGAUAUUAGGAGGAACACCGGUGGCGAAGGCGCUGCUCUGGGCCGAAACUGACGCUGAGGAGCGAAAGCGUGGGUAGCAAACAGG